RNAcentral lists this ribosomal RNA (253 nucleotides) under uncultured bacterium. RNAcentral's name for it is "partial 16S ribosomal RNA". It matches the Rfam family "Bacterial small subunit ribosomal RNA", at positions 524 to 776 of the family's 1533-position model. The record is from RNAcentral.
UACGUAGGUGGCAAGCGUUGUCCGGAUUUACUGGGCGUAAAGAGCGCGCAGGCGGUCGUUCAAGUCGCGUGUGAAAGCCCCCGGCUCAACUGGGGAGGGUCACGCGAUACUGAUCGACUCGAAGGCAGGAGAGGGAAGUGGAAUUCCCGGUGUAGUGGUGAAAUGCGUAGAUAUCGGGAGGAACAUCAGUGGCGAAGGCGGCCUGCUGGGCUGUUGCUGACGCUGAGGCGCGACAGCGUGGGGAGCAAACAGG